This 462-nucleotide ribosomal RNA is filed under the name uncultured Anaerolineaceae bacterium. Its description in RNAcentral is "bacterial SSU rRNA". It matches the Rfam family "Bacterial small subunit ribosomal RNA", at positions 903 to 1382 of the family's 1533-position model. Lineage: Bacteria; Bacillati; Chloroflexota; Anaerolineae; Anaerolineales; Anaerolineaceae. The record is from RNAcentral.
AAAGGAAUUGACGGGACCGCACAAGCAGCGGAGCGUGUGGUUUAAUUCGAUGCUACACGAAGAACCUCACCAGGGUUUGACAUGCAAGUGGUAGGAAACUGAAAGGGACGACCCUUCGGGGAGCUUGCACAGGUGCUGCAUGGCUGUCGUCAGCUCGUGUCGUGAGAUGUUCGGUUAAGUCCGCUAACGAGCGCAACCCUCACUGUGUGUUAUACGUGUCACACGGGACUGCCGGUUUUAAGCCGGAGGAAGGUGGGGAUGACGUCAAGUCAGCAUGGCCUUUAUAUCCUGGGCUACACACACGCUACAAUGGUCGGUACAAUAGGUUGCCAAGCCGCGAGGCGGAGCCAAUCCAUAAAGCCGGCCUCAGUUCAGAUUGUAGGCUGCAACUCGCCUGCAUGAAGAUGGAGUUGCUAGUAACCGCAGGUCAGCAAUACUGCGGUGAAUACGUUCCCGGGUCUU